UGGGGAAUUUUGGACAAUGGGCGCAAGCCUGAUCCAGCAAUGCCGCGUGAGUGAAGAAGGCCUUCGGGUUGUAAAGCUCUUUUGUCAGGGAAGAAACGGUGUGGGCUAAUAUCCCGCACUAAUGACGGUACCUGAAGAAUAAGCACCGGCUAACUACGUGCCAGCAGCCGCGGUAAUACGUAGGGUGCAAGCGUUAAUCGGAAUUACUGGGCGUAAAGCGUGCGCAGGCGGUUUUGUAAGUCUGAUGUGAAAUCCCCGGGCUCAACCUGGGAAUUGCAUUGGAGACUGCAAGGCUAGAAUCUGGCAGAGGGGGGUAGAAUUCCACGUGUAGCAGUGAAAUGCGUAGAGAUGUGGAGGAACACCGAUGGCGAAGGCAGCCCCCUGGGUCAAGAUUGACGCUCAUGCACGAAAGCGUGGGGAGCAAACA
Molecule: ribosomal RNA, 427 nt
Filed under: uncultured Janthinobacterium sp.
Lineage: Bacteria; Pseudomonadati; Pseudomonadota; Betaproteobacteria; Burkholderiales; Oxalobacteraceae
Description: bacterial SSU rRNA
Rfam family: Bacterial small subunit ribosomal RNA
Source: RNAcentral